This 216-nucleotide ribosomal RNA is filed under the name Glomeromycotina sp. Its description in RNAcentral is "partial small subunit ribosomal RNA". The stretch from base 40 to 216 matches the Rfam family "Eukaryotic small subunit ribosomal RNA", at positions 686 to 864 of the family's 1831-position model. The record is from RNAcentral. Lineage: Eukaryota; Fungi; Glomeromycota.
GGGUCAGUAGGUUGGUCGUGCCACCGGUACGUACUGGUCUCACUGAUUCCUCCUUCCUGAAGAACCGUAAUGCCAUUAAUUUGGCGUUGCGGGGGAACAGGACUGUUACUUUGAAAAAAUUAGAGUGUUUAAAGCAAGCUAACGCUUGAAUACAUUAGCAUGGAAUAAUGAAAUAGGACGAUCGAUCCUAUUUUGUUGGUUUCUAGGAUUGACGUA